RNAcentral lists this ribosomal RNA (497 nucleotides) under uncultured bacterium. RNAcentral describes it as "partial 16S ribosomal RNA". It matches the Rfam family "Bacterial small subunit ribosomal RNA", at positions 28 to 507 of the family's 1533-position model. The record is from RNAcentral.
GACGAACGCUGGCGGCGUGCCUAAUACAUGCAAGUCGAACGCUGAAGAGAGGAGCUUGCUCUUCUUGGAUGAGUUGCGAACGGGUGAGUAACGCGUAGGUAACCUGCCUUGUAGCGGGGGAUAACUAUUGGAAACGAUAGCUAAUACCGCAUAACAAUGGAUGACCCAUGUCAUUUAUUUGAAAGGGGCAAAUGCUCCACUACAAGAUGGACCUGCGUUGUAUUAGCUAGUAGGUGAGGUAACGGCUCACCUAGGCGACGAUACAUAGCCGACCUGAGAGGGUGAUCGGCCACACUGGGACUGAGACACGGCCCAGACGCCUACGGGAGGCAGCAGUAGGGAAUCUUCGGCAAUGGGGGCAACCCUGACCGAGCAACGCCGCGUGAGUGAAGAAGGUUUUCGGAUCGUAAAGCUCUGUUGUAAGUCAAGAACGAGUGUGAGAGUGGAAAGUUCACACUGUGACGGUAGCUUACCAGAAAGGGACGGCUAACUACGUG